This 292-nucleotide ribosomal RNA is filed under the name uncultured bacterium. Its description in RNAcentral is "partial 16S ribosomal RNA". It matches the Rfam family "Bacterial small subunit ribosomal RNA", at positions 505 to 796 of the family's 1533-position model. The record is from RNAcentral.
GUGCCAGCAGCCGCGGUAAUACGUAGGGGGCGAGCGUUGUCCGGAGUUACUGGGCGUAAAGGGCAUGCAGGCGGUCCGGCGCGUUUCGCGUGACAGCGGGUGGCUUAACUCCCCGAGAGUGCGAAAGACGGCCGGACUUGAGGGCCAGAGAGGGACCUGGAAUUCCGGGUGGAGUGGUGAAAUGCGUAGAUAUCCGGAGGAACACCAAAGGCGUAGGCAGGGUCCUGGCUGGCAACUGACGCUGAGGUGCGAAAGCUAGGGGAGCGAACGGGAUUAGAUACCCCAGUAGUCC